This 655-nucleotide long non-coding RNA is filed under the name Homo sapiens (human). RNAcentral's name for it is "HSALNT0184428". Lineage: Eukaryota; Metazoa; Chordata; Mammalia; Primates; Hominidae. The record is from RNAcentral.
CAAGAUUAGGCAUCUGGUGAGGGCCUCAGGCUCUUUCAAUUCAUGGUGGACAGCAGAAGGGGAGCCAGCAAAGAAAUCACAUGGUGAGAGAGGAAGCAAGAGAGUGAAACCGAGGAAAAUAGAUUCGUUUUAACAACCUGCUGUCUUGGGAACUAAUCGGCCUUGCCAGAGUGAGAAUUUACUCACUACCAUGAGAAUGGCACCAAACCAUUUAUGAAAGAUGCACCUCCAUAGCCCCAAACACCUCCCACUAAGCCCCACCUCUCAACACUGUCACACUGGGGCUCAAAUUUCAACAUGAUAGUUGAUGGAGACAAACUCAAACUCAAGGGUGUUUGAAUAUCCAAACCAUGGCAGCUACUAAAGAUUUUGAGUAGGAGUAUAACAUUAUCAGAUUUGUGAUUCCUAAAGAACACUCUGGCUACAAUGUGGAGAACAGAUUACAAGGGAACAAGGUGAAUUUGGAAGAGCAGCCAUGGUCCAGGCAGCGGCUGUAAAGGUCUUUGUUGCUGUUGCUGCCAUGUUAAUGACCCAGCUUGGGGCGCUGCCGCCGCCGCCGGCCGCUUCUUCCAAAGAAAACAAAUCAAAGUGAGUAACUCGAUGUCCGGCAAUGAGUUUUCCAUUAUAUAAAAAUAAGUAUAAAUCUUUCGCAGUU